UUUUUCUUGUCCAUUAUUGUUUGAUUUAUACAUGUGUUGGAUUGUAAUUAUUUGUGCUUUAUCAAGAGUACUAUCCUAAGAAAUUCUAAGUGCGUGAACAUACUAAACAGUGAGAAAGAAAAGUGGAGAAGAUGGAAAUGGAAAAAUGUCAUAACUCCAUCUAAAUCAUCAAUAAUUUGGCUAUUCAGUAAAAGUGAAAACCACCUAUAUGUGCAGUACAGUUUUGUUCUGCCUUGUGAAAAUCCUUGCCCUUGAAAGGCCUUCCCAUAGUAGAAAGUAAGUUACUUUGAUACAGAUAUUUGUACAUUGAUGGAUACUUUGGAAAGGUAACAAAAACUCAGCAUUUUCUUUAUCCUGAAACAUUUCCAUUUUAGUCCAAAAAUACUUGAAUGAAAAUCUGAUCUGUAAGUAGCCGUGUUAUCUGGUAACUUACAGAUAAAGGUAAGUAAUACAGAGAGAUGAUCACAGAUGAGCCUUGGAUAACACCAGUUUUUAAAAUUUACUUGAAAUAUUUUUCCUUUAAGAAAUGAGUGAGAUAAAUAACUCAAAAGUAGUCAGUCCCUAAGAUUUGCCCUUUUUUAUGGUACCGGGCUGCCAACUCAGACCAUUACUCACUUAGGAAGUUAAAAGCACCCCAAAACCCCAUCCCUCCGAUACCAAAGGAAAAAUCCACAUUAAAAGAAAAUUAUUAUUAUAACCAGGAACAUUUUAACGUUUUGAUGAUAGUAAACAUUUUGAUGUGGAGUGGAUGGAGGUGUUACGCUUGUUUUCAACAAGUGUGUUUAGAGGGCAAAACACCUGGCAGAUAGUUUCAGGGCUAAAGUGAAGGAUUGUUAGUUGUUCGUGUUGAUGUUUUAUCAUGCGACUUUUGUGUUAGGUCAAGUGAAUGUUUUCCUAAUGAAAAUGCAAUUUUAGUCUGAGGCAUAUUGUGUGAGGUUUGAAAUAUAGGCUUAUUUCUCACCUCAGCUCUAUUAUAUACAGCUGCGUUAUCUUUAACAGAUUAUACAUAAACAUUGCUGGCAUCUUGUCUAAUCUGUAAAAGGGGAAGGAAGUGAUGGAUGGCACCUCAUGGGUUUUCAGAUUAUGUGACAUUGGUUAGGACUUAGCAAAAUGGUUUCAGU
This is a long non-coding RNA of Sapajus apella (tufted capuchin), 1121 nucleotides long. RefSeq lists it as uncharacterized. The transcript is spliced from 2 exons. Lineage: Eukaryota; Metazoa; Chordata; Mammalia; Primates; Cebidae. The record is from RefSeq and is a predicted model, not a curated record.